Molecule: unclassified non-coding RNA, 336 nt
Filed under: soil metagenome
Description: partial contains 5.8S ribosomal RNA, internal transcribed spacer 2, and large subunit ribosomal RNA
Rfam family: 5.8S ribosomal RNA (bases 5-119)
Source: RNAcentral
GAUGAGAACGUAGCGAAAUGCGAUAAGUAAUGUGAAUUGCAGAAUUCAGUGAAUCAUCGAAUCUUUGAACGCACAUUGCGCCCGCCAGUAUUCUGGCGGGCAUGCCUGUUCGAGCGUCAUUUCAACCAUCAAGCCCCCCGGCUUGUGUUGGGGACCUGCGGCUGCCGCAGGCCCUGAAAAGCAGUGGCGGGCUCGCUGUCACACCGAGCGUAGUAGAUCUCAUCUCGCUCAGGGCGUGCUGCGGGUUCCGGCCGUUAAACCACCUUCAUAACCCAAGGUUGACCUCGGAUCAGGUAGGAAGACCCGCUGAACUUAAGCAUAUCAAUAAGCGGAGGA